Molecule: ribosomal RNA, 542 nt
Filed under: Photobacterium rosenbergii
Lineage: Bacteria; Pseudomonadati; Pseudomonadota; Gammaproteobacteria; Vibrionales; Vibrionaceae
Description: bacterial SSU rRNA
Rfam family: Bacterial small subunit ribosomal RNA
Source: RNAcentral
UGAUCAUGGCUCAGAUCUGAACGCUGGCGGCAGGCCUAACACAUGCAAGUCGAGCGGCAGCGACAUACACAAUCCUUCGGGUGCGUUUAUGGGCGGCGAGCGGCGGACGGGUGAGUAAUGCCUGGGAAUAUGCCCUGAUGUGGGGGAUAACCAUUGGAAACGAUGGCUAAUACCGCAUAAUCUCUUCGGAGCAAAGAGGGGGACCUUCGGGCCUCUCGCGUCAGGAUUAGCCCAGGUGAGAUUAGCUAGUUGGUGAGGUAAGAGCUCACCAAGGCGACGAUCUCUAGCUGGUCUGAGAGGAUGAUCAGCCACACUGGAACUGAGACACGGUCCAGACUCCUACGGGAGGCAGCAGUGGGGAAUAUUGCACAAUGGGGGAAACCCUGAUGCAGCCAUGCCGCGUGUGUGAAGAAGGCCUUCGGGUUGUAAAGCACUUUCAGUUGUGAGGAAGGCGUAUGCGUUAAUACGCGUAUGCUGCUUAUGACGUCUCAGCAACAGCAAGAAGCACCGGCUCAAGCUCCGUGCCAACAGCCGCGGGUAAC